GACGAACGCUGGCGGCGUGCUUAACACAUGCAAGUCGAACGGAAAGGCCCUGCUUUUGUGGGGUGCUCGAGUGGCGAAAGGGUGAGUAACACGUGAGUAACCUGCCCUUGACUUUGGGAUAACUUCAGGAAACUGGGGCUAAUACCGGAUAGGAGCUCCUGCUGCAUGGUGGGGGUUGGAAAGUUUCGGCGGUUGGGGAUGGACUCGCGGCAUAUCAGCUUGUUGGUGGGGUAGUGGCUUACCAAGGCUUCGACGGGUAGCCGGCCUGAGAGGGUGACCGGCCACAUUGGGACUGGGAUACGGCCCAGACUCCUACGGGAGGCAGCAGUGGGGAAUAUUGCACAAUGGGCGGAAGCCUGAUGCAGCAACGCCGCGUGCGGGAUGACGGCCUUCGGGUUGUAAACCGCUUUCGCCUGUGACGAAGCGUGAGUGACGGUAAUGGGUAAAGAAGCACCGGCUAACUACGUG
RNAcentral lists this ribosomal RNA (468 nucleotides) under uncultured bacterium. RNAcentral's name for it is "partial 16S ribosomal RNA". It matches the Rfam family "Bacterial small subunit ribosomal RNA", at positions 28 to 507 of the family's 1533-position model. The record is from RNAcentral.